RNAcentral lists this transfer RNA (69 nucleotides) under Ischyja manlia. Its description in RNAcentral is "tRNA-Gln". The record is from RNAcentral. Lineage: Eukaryota; Metazoa; Arthropoda; Insecta; Lepidoptera; Erebidae.
UAUAUUUUAGUGUAAGAAGCACAAUAAUUUUUGGUAUUAUUAGGUAUAGUUUGAUUCUGUAAAAUAUAA